This is a non-coding RNA of Myotis brandtii (Brandt's bat), 81 nucleotides long. Lineage: Eukaryota; Metazoa; Chordata; Mammalia; Chiroptera; Vespertilionidae. The record is from Rfam.
AGGCUUGAAGAGAGAAGCAGGGUCUGAUCCAUAGCCUCUGUGGCAGCUGUUGAUUAGCACUUGCCUCUCUCUUUAGCUCCA